This 477-nucleotide ribosomal RNA is filed under the name uncultured organism. RNAcentral describes it as "partial 16S ribosomal RNA". It matches the Rfam family "Bacterial small subunit ribosomal RNA", at positions 332 to 800 of the family's 1533-position model. The record is from RNAcentral.
UACACUCCUACGGGAGGCAGCAGUGGGGAAUUUUGGACAAUGGGCGAAAGCCUGAUCCAGCCAUGCCGCGUGCAGGAUGAAGGCCUUCGGGUUGUAAACUGCUUUUGUACGGAACGAAACGGCCUUUUCUAAUAAAGAGGGCUAAUGACGGUACCGUAAGAAUAAGCACCGGCUAACUACGUGCCAGCAGCCGCGGUAAUACGUAGGGUGCAAGCGUUAAUCGGAAUUACUGGGCGUAAAGCGUGCGCAGGCGGUUAUGUAAGACAGUUGUGAAAUCCCCGGGCUCAACCUGGGAACUGCAUCUGUGACUGCAUAGCUAGAGUACGGUAGAGGGGGAUGGAAUUCCGCGUGUAGCAGUGAAAUGCGUAGAUAUGCGGAGGAACACCGAUGGCGAAGGCAAUCCCCUGGACCUGUACUGACGCUCAUGCACGAAAGCGUGGGGAGCAAACAGGAUUAGAAACCCGGGUAGUCCCAUGA